UACGUAGGGUGCAAGCGUUAAUCGGAAUUACUGGGCGUAAAGCGUGCGCAGGCGGUCCGUUAAGACAGAUGUGAAAUCCCCGGGCUAACCUGGGAACUGCAUUUGUGACUGGCGGACUCGAGUAUGGCAGAGGGGGGGUAGAAUUCCACGUGUAGCAGUGAAAAUGCGUAGAGAUGUGGAGGAAUACCGAUGCGAAGGCAGCCCCC
This 206-nucleotide ribosomal RNA is filed under the name uncultured bacterium. Its description in RNAcentral is "partial 16S ribosomal RNA". It matches the Rfam family "Bacterial small subunit ribosomal RNA", at positions 524 to 729 of the family's 1533-position model. The record is from RNAcentral.